Molecule: long non-coding RNA, 907 nt
Filed under: Gossypium barbadense (sea-island cotton)
Lineage: Eukaryota; Viridiplantae; Streptophyta; Magnoliopsida; Malvales; Malvaceae
Description: long non-coding RNA (GBAR_LNC023180)
Source: RNAcentral
AGCAAGGUAGUAUAAGUCAGCCAAAACUUGGAGAUUAAGCUUUGACUUUUUAAAUAUGCUACUAUGAAGGGAAUGAAGAUGGCAGUGAUAGGUGUAAGAAAAACAGAUGAGGAAACAGAGAGUCAAGAGGGAAUUAAUGGCAGAUCUUUGGAAAGGCCAUUAUGCUUGGAAUUUUAGCUAUACAAAAAAGAGAGGGAAUGAAGAUGGCAGUGAUCAGUGUAGGAAAAGCAGAUGAGGAAACAGAGAGUCAAGAGGAAAUUAAUGGCAGAUCUUUGGAAAGGCCAUUACGCUUGGAAUUUUAGCUAUAGGAACAAGUAAGCUUCUAAUUUCUUCUACUGAAUUAUUGUCAUAUAUUUGUGGUUGAACUAAGAUAUUGAGGCUGUAUUGCAACCUGUUACCAGAUUUGGCUUGUUGAUAUCAUUCAAGUCUGAUAAUUUUAUAUUGCAUUAUUUACACAAAUCUGUAGGUGUUUAGCUUAGCUGAACAUGUUAUACGGCUGCAAUGUGGUGUUUGUGUCUUGAAACAAGCGAUGCGAUUUUCUAUAGCAAUUUGCUGCGUACAGUAAGUAUUCGUUGUGAAUUUACAGUCACUGUUUUGGGAGAAUGAUGUUAAGGGGGAGCUGGAAUUCUAGCAAUCCUAAAACGUGGCUGUGAUUCAAGCUAUUAUACUGUGCUUGAAGCUUCGAACUAGAGCAUGAAAGUUUCAUUGCGUAUCAAUUCAACCUCGGAUACUUGGGGGGACGUAUCUGAGCUAAUUAAUUGAUACAUCAAGUGAAAGAUAUCGAUUUUUGUAAAUGUCUUGCUAAGGCAUCGACCAAGGAUGGGGUGGAUUGGAUUUUAAUGUUUAUGGAAUGGUAUUGAUUGGCAUUAUACAUUAUGUUGUAUUGCUGUUUUUUUGUUUAACGUGU